UGGGGAAUCUUCCGCAAUGGGUGAAAGCCUGACGGAGCAACGCCGCGUGAGGGAUGAAGGCCUCUGGGCUGUAAACCUCUUUUAUCAAGGAAGAAGAUCUGACGGUACUUGAUGAAUAAGCCACGGCUAAUUCCGUGCCAGCAGCCGCGGUAAUACGGGAGUGGCAAGCGUUAUCCGGAAUUAUUGGGCGUAAAGCGUCCGCAGGCGGCCUCGUAAGUCUGUCGUUAAAGCGUGGAGCUUAACUCCAUUUAAGCGAUGGAAACUGCGAGGCUAGAGUGUGGUAGGGGCAGAGGGAAUUCCCGGUGUAGCGGUGAAAUGCGUAGAUAUCGGGAAGAACACCAGUGGCGAAGGCGCUCUGCUGGGCCAUAACUGACGCUCAUGGACGAAAGCCAGGGGAGCGAAAGGGAUUAGAUACCCCUGUAGUC
This 425-nucleotide ribosomal RNA is filed under the name uncultured cyanobacterium. RNAcentral describes it as "bacterial SSU rRNA". It matches the Rfam family "Bacterial small subunit ribosomal RNA", at positions 355 to 795 of the family's 1533-position model. Lineage: Bacteria; Bacillati; Cyanobacteriota. The record is from RNAcentral.